This 72-nucleotide transfer RNA is filed under the name Eubacterium sp. RNAcentral describes it as "tRNA-Ile". It matches the Rfam family "tRNA". From Rfam's summary of the family: Transfer RNA (tRNA) molecules are approximately 80 nucleotides in length. Their secondary structure includes four short double-helical elements and three loops (D, anti-codon, and T loops). RNAcentral also lists the same sequence under 1 other name. The record is from RNAcentral. Lineage: Bacteria; Bacillati; Bacillota; Clostridia; Eubacteriales; Eubacteriaceae.
GCGCCAUUAGCACAACGGUUAGUGCGCGCGCCUUAUAAGCGCGUGACGCGGUUUCGACUACCGCAUGGCGUA